This is a long non-coding RNA of Myodes glareolus (Bank vole), 631 nucleotides long. RefSeq lists it as uncharacterized. The record is from RefSeq and is a predicted model, not a curated record. Lineage: Eukaryota; Metazoa; Chordata; Mammalia; Rodentia; Cricetidae.
UGUGUGGAAGUCACUCAAACAUUCCUACCUGCUGGACAUUUGUCUGGACUCUAGUUGUCUGUCCCUGUUCUAAACAGUUAAAUAAUAAGCAGGUCUAGACACACUCCUUUUAAUAUUUAUUUUUCUUUGGAAACGGCUUCCAGAAAUGAAACCAUGCAUGUGGUCAGAAUGAAGAGUGCCAGUGGUCUCUGCUUGUCACCAAAAAUAAUUCAGAAGACAGCUGAAGAGGCCUCCAUGCUCGGAUUCUGCUCCUCCCUCUCCCGCCCCUCAUUCUUGUUUCUUUUCCAAGAGAAGAGGUUGAGCCAAGACUGGGCAUUCCUGGGUCCUCUCUGCCAGGAGGCGGAGUCACAGGGCAGGAAAAAACAUUGUCCUUUCUUCCCAACUCUCGAAGGCAGCCCGAGGGAUGAGCUAGCUGGGAACACGGACAUCUGCAGGAAGCCUGGAACCUUUGGCUCUUGCUGAACUGGCCUGGUGACUAACUUCAGGAUGAAGAGAGAUGAGGUCCUGUAAGGCAGCUUUACAGAUGAUGAAAACUGAGACUGCAGAACCACAUGUUCCAUGCUUCCAGACAGCAUCAGACAAUCCAGCCCUGCUUACUAUUUCUGCUCAGGCUCACAAGGUGGAGGAGCUG